Molecule: long non-coding RNA, 348 nt
Organism: Leopardus geoffroyi (Geoffroy's cat)
Lineage: Eukaryota; Metazoa; Chordata; Mammalia; Carnivora; Felidae
Exons: 2
Source: RefSeq, a predicted model, not a curated record
GAAGAAGGGGGCGGUUGAAGCCAGUGCAGGGGGCGGGGGGUGGGGGUGCCCCAGACCGAGAGGGAUGCUCACCGGGCACAGGGGAGGUGCCCGCUUGGUGCCGGGCGCUCGGACAGGGGCCUCUGUGGGGAGAGGUCCUGGCCAAGACGCGCAUGUGGGGUUUAGAGCCCGAGGUCAGUGGUCUUAGCAAAGGAGGCAGGGAAGACACGAGAGGCAGCCGGGGGCGGGGGCCGGGAGGACCAGACCAGAGGCCACGCUGCCACCGGGGCACCUUGGACAGCACGAGUGUGUUCUCCACCAGCUCUGAGACCACAAGGCAGACCAAGGCGGGCAGGGCCUCACUCCGCC